This 573-nucleotide ribosomal RNA is filed under the name uncultured bacterium. Its description in RNAcentral is "partial 16S ribosomal RNA". It matches the Rfam family "Bacterial small subunit ribosomal RNA", at positions 355 to 920 of the family's 1533-position model. The record is from RNAcentral.
UGGGGAAUUUUGGACAAUGGGGGCAACCCUGAUCCAGCAAUGCCGCGUGUGUGAAGAAGGCCUUCGGGUUGUAAAGCACUUUUGUCCGGAAAGAAAACGCCGUGGUUAAUACCCGUGGCGGAUGACGGUACCGGAAGAAUAAGCACCGGCUAACUACGUGCCAGCAGCCGCGGUAAUACGUAGGGUGCAAGCGUUAAUCGGAAUUACUGGGCGUAAAGCGUGCGCAGGCGGUCCGCUAAGACAGAUGUGAAAUCCCCGGGCUUAACCUGGGAACUGCAUUUGUGACUGGCGGGCUAGAGUAUGGCAGAGGGGGGUAGAAUUCCACGUGUAGCAGUGAAAUGCGUAGAGAUGUGGAGGAAUACCGAUGGCGAAGGCAGCCCCCUGGGCCAAUACUGACGCUCAUGCACGAAAGCGUGGGGGAGCAAACAGGAUUAGAUACCCUGGUAGUCCACGCCCUAAACGAUGUCAACUAGUUGUCGGGUCUUCAUUGACUUGGUAACGUAGCUAACGCGUGAAGUUGACCGCCUGGGGAGUACGGUCGCAAGAUUAAAACUCAAAUGAAUUGACGGGGUC